CAGAGGGGACAAUCAGAGGGGUAUAGGAAUAUAAAAUGAGUAAGGACAUGGUCUGUAAAACACUACAGGUACUUCCAUUAGACAGAGCCAUCCUUCACAAUGGACUAUACACUUUUCACAGCAGCCAUUGUGUUUCUAACAUCAGGUCUGUGUGUAGGUCAGAAUGUGUUACCACCAGGACCAUUGACUGGAGCCAUAGGAGGGAGAGUGAAGUUCACCACAACCCUCAGUCCACCAGCCAAACAUUUUGUCUCAGUGAGCUGGACCUUCAACAGGGUCAACAUCAUCACCUCCACUACGGCCAACAUAACUAAUGCUGACUACAAAGACCGGAUCAGUCUGGACAGAACCACUGGCUCUCUGGAGCUGUGGAACCUGGGCCUGAGGGACCAAGGGGAAUACAGAGUCAGCAUCAUACCAGACGGGGCUCUGGAGCUACAAGGAUCUACCACUCUGGAUGUCUAUGUGUUGCUAUCUGCUGCCACCAUCACCAGUCCCCCAGCCACCCUGAUAGCUGGCAUAAGCUCCACCAACCUGACUUGUGAGGCUGCUGGCAACAUCAGCUCCAUACAGUGGAUCAAAGAUGGCCUCCCUCUGUCUCCCAGCAACAAUAUCACCUUAUCUGCAGACAACAGGACAGUCUAUCUCAGUCCUGUUCAGGACAUUGACAACGGAGAAUAUGAGUGUUUAGUCAGCAACCCUGUCAGCAACCGGACAGCAUCCCACAACCUGACCGUCAACUUUGGACCCCAAAACAUUUCAAUAUAUGGACCAUCAGCAGCAUCAACAGGAUACAGGGUAACUCUGAGCUGUUCGGCUGACUCUAUCCCUCCUGCUACAUUCACCUGGAUGUUCAACAGGACAGAGACAGGUGUUAACAACACCCUGUACGUCAUAGAGAGGAUGGAGGCGCUACACAUUGGGAACUACACCUGCACUGCCACCAAUAACAUCACGGGACUGAAAGACUCUGUUGUCUACAAGCUGAGAGGCUCCUCUGCUGCCCCCAUUUGGUAAUUUGCUUUGAUGGUGACCAGUGUCAUGGCAGCAGGACUGCUGAAACUGUAGAUGUCUGAAAGGAGAGACAGGGACAAGAAGAGGCUGGUGAAGGAUUUGUCAACCCCAGAGCCUUCUUGCUGAUGAAGGACAAUCUUGAUAUGGACUCUUCUGGGCUAGAGGAUAUUGUAUAGAAUCAAACCCGUCUGUAGUUUUAAUAUGUAGCGAUGUACUUUAGCCUGUCAAACUGUAAUAUUAUCUGGGCUUUAUUAAAAUAUUAUGUUUUAUAUAUAAAUAAUUUUAUAUAAAACAUAAUAUUUUAAUAAAGCCCAGAUAAUACUGUGUGUUCAAACAUAAUAUUUUAUAUAUACAUAUAUAAUCAAAGUAUAUAUAAAUUAAUCAAAGUAAUCCAUGGUACAUGUCAUGAAAUAUUCAUGUACACUGAGCAAAAUUAUAAAUGCAACAUGUAACAUGUUGGUCUCAUGUUACAUGAGCGGAAAUAAAACAUCCCAGGAAUUUACCAUAUGCACGAAAAGCUUUUUUUCUCCCAAAAAAUUGCAUCCACCUGGCAGCUGUGGUAUAUCAAGAAGCUGAUUAAACAGCAUGAUUAUUACAAAUCAAAUCAAACUUUGUCACAUGCGCCAAAUACAACAUGUACAACAGGUACAAAAACAACCUUUUCAUGAAAUGAUUACUUACAAGCCCUUAAGACUUCUUAUGACUUAGAUCCCAAUAACGGGAUUGAUAUGACAACAGUCAGUGAAAGUACAGGGCGCCAAAUUCAAAACAAUGUCAUA
RNA transcript from Oncorhynchus kisutch (coho salmon), 1793 nucleotides. It is a transcript of the gene named carcinoembryonic antigen-related cell adhesion molecule 20-like, with no coding region annotated. NCBI's taxonomy places the organism in Eukaryota, Metazoa, Chordata, Actinopteri, Salmoniformes, Salmonidae. The transcript is spliced from 6 exons. The record is from RefSeq and is a predicted model, not a curated record.